UACAGAGGGGGCCAGCGUUAUUCGGAAUUAUUGGGCGUAAAGGGCGCGUAGGCGGCCAUGCGUGUCUCCCGUGAAAUCCCUCGGCUCAACCGAGGACGUGCGGAAGAAACUGCAAGGCUCGAGUCCGGAAGAGGGGGGCGGAAUUCCCAGUGUAGCGGUGAAAUGCGUAGAUAUUGGGAGGAACACCAGUGGCGAAGGCGGCUCACUGGACCGGUACUGACGCUGAUGCGCGAAAGCGUGGGGAGCAAACGGG
Molecule: ribosomal RNA, 253 nt
Filed under: uncultured bacterium
Lineage: Bacteria
Description: partial 16S ribosomal RNA
Rfam family: Bacterial small subunit ribosomal RNA
Source: RNAcentral